RNAcentral lists this ribosomal RNA (454 nucleotides) under uncultured Brevundimonas sp. RNAcentral describes it as "partial 16S ribosomal RNA". Lineage: Bacteria; Pseudomonadati; Pseudomonadota; Alphaproteobacteria; Caulobacterales; Caulobacteraceae. The record is from RNAcentral.
CACGAAGUUAGCCGGGGCUUCUUCUCCGGGUACCGUCAUUAUCGUCCCCGGUGAGAGAAUUUUACAAUCCUAAGACCUUCAUCAUUCACGCGGCAUGGCUGCGUCAGGCUUUCGCCCAUUGCGCAAGAUUCCCCACUGCUGCCUCCCGUAGGAGUUUGGGCCGUGUCUCAGUCCCAAUGUGGCUGAUCAUCCUCUCAGACCAGCUACUGAUCGUCGCCUUGGUGAGCCUUUACCUCACCAACUAGCUAAUCAGACGCGGGCCGCUCUAAUGGCGAUAAAUCUUUCCCCCGAAGAGCACAUUCGGUAUUAGCACAAAGUUUCCCUGAGUUAUUACCGAACCAAAAGGCACGUUCCCACGUGUACUCACCCGUCGCCACUAACUCCGAAGAGUUCGUUCGACUUGCAUGUGUUAGGCCUGCCGCCAGCGUUCGCUCUGUGCCAGGAUCGAAACUCU